Molecule: small RNA, 192 nt
Filed under: Vigna angularis var. angularis
Lineage: Eukaryota; Viridiplantae; Streptophyta; Magnoliopsida; Fabales; Fabaceae
Description: Non-protein coding transcript
Source: RNAcentral
UGAAGAUGGAUUCUUUUUUACUGUAAAACAAUUUUCACUACUUGAUCAGGGGAAUCAGGGAAGGCAAAGUGUAUAUCAACUGGAACAGGUUCUGUUUCCAUUGGGUAAGAUGUCGUGAUGAUUUAUGGGUGCUUGAAGGCUCUUAUAAAAGGGAAGAGGAGAUCUCGGAGCUGGUUUAGAACACUGAUUUUU